Cryptomeria japonica (Japanese cedar) is the source of this 673-nucleotide long non-coding RNA. RefSeq lists it as uncharacterized. The record is from RefSeq and is a predicted model, not a curated record. The transcript is spliced from 3 exons. NCBI's taxonomy places the organism in Eukaryota, Viridiplantae, Streptophyta, Pinopsida, Cupressales, Cupressaceae.
AUAAAAUGUCGCUAUAAUUUCAGCUGGCAGAGCACGAGUAGCUUUGGAAUUUCAAGAGCUGUUUGGCUCAGAUAACUGAUAUCGACCAUGGGAAAGAACAAGUGAGGAACGAUGGAAGAACGAGAGGCUGAAAAGGAAAGACAAAGGCAACGUAUGAAGAAAUUACGUGACAUAAGAACAAUGAGAGAAGAAGGGGAUUUGCCUUAGUCAUAGCCUUCAAGAGUUGAUUCAAGGUUGUGAACAAGAUUGAAGACACACUAAGCAACUAUGAAUACUACUUUACCUAUUCUUUUCUUAUGCAUUCUAAUGCUCGUUAAUGAUGCUAUGUUGGUAAUAUUUCUCUAUGUGAUAAUUUGAUGGUCACAUAAGAGGUUAACCAAUGAUUAGAAAUAAACAUGGUUUUAACUUUUGUACAACACCCUUAUGUGCAAAUUAUAUUAUUUCAUUCUCAAGUUAAAAAAUAAUGACUUGUAGGAAGCUCGGUCAACUUGAGCCUAAUAUUAAAUUUGAAUUGAAGCUUCAAGAGUCAAAUUCACAUUGUAGAAUUGACCCAAGGUAGAGUAUGUCAGUGUAAAUAUGGCCAUUUCACAUUUAGUUAGCAUAUCAAACUUUUAAGUUUGACCUAUUCACACUAGUUAAGUCUCCACUUAGGAAAUUUUAGCCUUUUGUCUCU